This is a long non-coding RNA of Fukomys damarensis (Damara mole-rat), 328 nucleotides long. RefSeq lists it as uncharacterized. The transcript has 3 exons. NCBI's taxonomy places the organism in Eukaryota, Metazoa, Chordata, Mammalia, Rodentia, Bathyergidae. The record is from RefSeq and is a predicted model, not a curated record.
UUCGGAGAAGGAAAUCUGAUUCUCCUUUCUAGAUGAGAAAGAACAGCCCUCACUUUGGAUGCUCCCCUGCAUUUGAGGGACACAUAUUCUGGCUCAUGAGUUGGGGGAAGACGUCUGGCAGAGGUGUGGGACUCAGAUGAAGCAGUCGCAGACCACUGCACUAGGGAGAAGGGACACCAGCUGCCCAGCAACCUCCAGGAUCGCACUGUGCCCGGCCUCAAUUCCCACCUGAGAAACACAGGAGGGCACCGAGAAAAUCACCUUGGCAGUUCCAGGCUUUCACCCAGCUGAGACUGAAAGUGACAGGAAGAGACUUCAAGAGGUGAGG